RNAcentral lists this long non-coding RNA (2323 nucleotides) under Citrus sinensis (sweet orange). RNAcentral's name for it is "long non-coding RNA (CSIN_LNC000326)". The record is from RNAcentral. Lineage: Eukaryota; Viridiplantae; Streptophyta; Magnoliopsida; Sapindales; Rutaceae.
UUUGAUUACUAAACAAAUGUAUGUCAUAUGUUACUCCAGAUUGGAAGGCCUGUAGUCUACGGCCUUGCUGCAAAAGGGGAAUAUGGGGUGAGAUGCGUCAUUGAAAUGCUGAAGGAUGAGUUUGAGUUGACCAUGGCCCUUACUGGCUGUCCUAGUGUGAAACAUAUUACCAGGAACCAUGUGAGAACUGAGCAUGAGAGAAUCCAUUCGAUGCUGUAAUAUUAUUUUCUGUUGCAGAAAUGUCUAAAUGUAUGGAUGAAUUAAACCAUGAGCAAUCAUUUAAACUAAUUAAAUUUGAAGUAUUUUUACGGUUUAUAACAUUCUUUUUAAGGGUGCGUUUGACACACUCUAUUAUAUUAUGUUGUAUUGUAUUAUUUUAAUACAGUUGUAUUGUAUUAUUUUGUAUUGUAUUAGUAUUGAAUUAUAAUAAUAUUAUACAACAUUUGGUAUUACAUUGUACUGUAUUAAUUUUUAAUUAUAUCAUGUUUGGAGUUAUAUAUCUAAACUGCAGACAAUAUGAUCUAGAUUUGUAUAUAGAUCUAAACUUACUUCACUUUUACAAGUACGUAAAUAAUUGUGAGAAUUGAAUUGAUUACAAAUAUGUGUCAGUUUAUUUUGAUUAAUGUUGAUUAGUAGAAUGCAUUCUAAAAUUUUUUUAAGACUGUAAAAGGGAAUCCAAACUGACAACAUUGCUGCUGCCAUUGAAUUUAACUUGAAAUGUUGAGAAAUAUCAUAGUAUUAAGGAUUACAUAAUUCUCCUAAUUAACAUUCUGAGUUUUAAUUUAAGGCAUAUGAAUCAGGAAACAGGAGACGCAAAUCUAUAGGGUGCUCAUAACAAUGCUAAUGCAUGUAGUUUUUGCUAGUUUUCUGACGUGUAGACAAUGGAACUUGCCGUUUCAUGUAUUAAUGAUGGAGAUCUUGUAACAAUACAUUUUUCGAUCUAACUAGCUCGAUGUAGAAAUGACCAGCAUUUUGGAAUAAGAUAUGUGUCCCCUGACAACUUUGGGUUACACAAUAGAUUUUACCAAGGAAAUCGUAACCAAUACAUUUUAUACUUGUGAACCCUGAGCUUGCAGGUGGUUCAUGCCGUUAAAGGAAGAGUUCCAAUUCUUAUGGAUGGAGGAGUGCGGCGAGGAACAGAUGUUUUCAAGGCAUUGGCCCUCGGUGCACAAGCUGUACUUGUAAGCUUUUCACAACUUCACCCUUAAGUUUUUUUAAUUUCAGUGGUGAGACUCUGGAGCCACCUUUCUUUUCUCUUUUGUUAACAGUUGAUUCCAGGGACACAAAGGUAACAUAGAAAUUUAUUUCAGCUGCAGUACUACUUUUGUUCGGGUCCUUAUUUGAUUACUAAACAAAUGUAUGUCAUAUGUUACUCCAGAUUGGAAGGCCUGUAGUCUACGGCCUUGCUGCAAAAGGGGAAUAUGGGGUGAGACGCGUCAUCGAAAUGCUGAAGGAUGAGUUUGAGUUGACCAUGGCCCUUACUGGCUGUCCUAGUGUGAAACAUAUUACCAGGAAGCAUGUGAGAACUGAGCAGGAGAGAAUCCAUUCGAUGCUGUAAUAUUAUUCUGUUGCAGAAAUGUCUAAGGGUGCGUUUGACACACUCUAUUGUAUUAUGUUGUAUUGUAUUAUUUUAAUACAGUUGUAUUGUAUUAUUUUGUAUUGUAUUAGUAUUGAAUUAUAAUAAUAUUGUACAACAUUUGGUAUUACAUUAUACUGUAUUAAUUUUUAAUUAUAUCAUGUUUGGAGUUAUAUAUUUCAUUAUAUAUUAAUUUUUUUGGUGAUUAAUUUACAUUAUAUAUUUCAAAACAAUAUUUCUUAGUAGUUAAAAAAACCAUACUGCUGUACGGCCAAGGCGGAUGUACGGUACAGCAGAAAAGACUCUUUUCAUUUGUAAAACUUUUAUUUUCUGUAACUUUCUCACAGUUAAUUUGCUGCUGUACGGCCAAGGCGGAUGUACGGUACAGCAGCCUGUAGUCUACGGCCUUGCUGCAAAAGGGGAAUAUGGGGUGAGACGCGUCAUCGAAAUGCUGAAGGAUGAGUUUGAGUUGACCAUGGCCCUUACUGGCUGUCCUAGUGUGAAACAUAUUACCAGGAAGCAUGUGAGAACUGAGCAGGAGAGAAUCCAUUCGAUGCUGUAAUAUUAUUCUGUUGCAGAAAUGUCUAAGGGUGCGUUUGACACACUCUAUUGUAUUAUGUUGUAUUGUAUUAUUUUAAUACAGUUGUAUUGUAUUAUUUUGUAUUGUAUUAGUAUUGAAUUAUAAUAAUAUUGUACAACAUUUGGUAUUACAUUAUACUGUAUUAAUUUUUAAUUAUAUCAUGUUUG